This 483-nucleotide ribosomal RNA is filed under the name uncultured bacterium. Its description in RNAcentral is "bacterial SSU rRNA". It matches the Rfam family "Bacterial small subunit ribosomal RNA", at positions 29 to 536 of the family's 1533-position model. The record is from RNAcentral.
AACGAACGCUGGCGGCAUGCCUAACACAUGCAAGUCGAACGAGACCUUCGGGUCUAGUGGCGCACGGGUGCGUAACGCGUGGGAAUCUGCCCUUGGGUUCGGAAUAACACAGAGAAAUUUGUGCUAAUACCGGAUGAUGACGUAAGUCCAAAGAUUUAUCGCCCAGGGAUGAGCCCGCGUAGGAUUAGCUAGUUGGUGGGGUAAAGGCUCACCAAGGCUACGAUCCUUAGCUGGUCUGAGAGGAUGAUCAGCCACACUGGGACUGAGACACGGCCCAGACUCCUACGGGAGGCAGCAGUGGGGAAUAUUGGACAAUGGGCGAAAGCCUGAUCCAGCAAUGCCGCGUGAGUGAAGAAGGCCUUAGGGUUGUAAACUGCUUUAGUCUAGGAAAAGGGUGCGAGGUUAAUACCUCGUGCUUUGAUGGUACUGGAAGAAUAAGCACCGGCUAACUACGUGCCAGCAGCCGCGGUAAGGAGUAGUACA